This 72-nucleotide transfer RNA is filed under the name Camelus bactrianus (Bactrian camel). It matches the Rfam family "tRNA". Rfam says of the family: Transfer RNA (tRNA) molecules are approximately 80 nucleotides in length. RNAcentral also lists the same sequence under 1 other name. The record is from Rfam by way of RNAcentral. Lineage: Eukaryota; Metazoa; Chordata; Mammalia; Artiodactyla; Camelidae.
GAGGGUACAGCUCAGUGAUAGAGCACAUGCCUAGCAUGCAUGAGGUCCUGGGUUCAAUCCCCAGUACCUCCU